UACGGAGGUGCAAGCGUUGUUCGGAAUUAUUGGGCGUAAAGGGCGCGUAGGCGGUUGUGAUAGUCAGAUGUGAAAUCCUCCGGCCUAACUGGAGAACUGCAUCUGAAACUUCAUAGCUAGAGUACAGGAGAGGGAAACGGAAUUCCCGGUGUAGAGGUGGAAUUCGUAGAUAUCGGGAGGAACACCAGUGGCGAAGGCGGUUUCCUGGCCUGAUACUGACGCUGAGGUGCGAAAGCGUGGGUAGCAAACAGGAUUAGAUACCCGGGUAGUCCCU
RNAcentral lists this ribosomal RNA (274 nucleotides) under uncultured prokaryote. Its description in RNAcentral is "partial 16S ribosomal RNA". It matches the Rfam family "Bacterial small subunit ribosomal RNA", at positions 524 to 798 of the family's 1533-position model. The record is from RNAcentral.